RNAcentral lists this ribosomal RNA (253 nucleotides) under uncultured bacterium. Its description in RNAcentral is "partial 16S ribosomal RNA". It matches the Rfam family "Bacterial small subunit ribosomal RNA", at positions 524 to 776 of the family's 1533-position model. The record is from RNAcentral.
UACGGAGGGGGCAAGCGUUAUUCGGAAUUAUUGGGCGUAAAGGGCGCGUAGGCGGCUAGAUGUGUCAAAGGUGAAAUCCCUCGGCUCAACUGAGGAACUGCCUUUGAAACUGUCUGGCUUGAGGCCGGGAGAGGGUAGCGGAAUUCCCAGUGUAGCGGUGAAAUGCGUAGAUAUUGGGAGGAACACCAGUGGCGAAGGCGGAUCUCUGGAGAGUUCCUGACGCUGAGGCACGAAGGCCAGGGGAGCAAACGGG